RNAcentral lists this long non-coding RNA (1773 nucleotides) under Homo sapiens (human). RNAcentral describes it as "HSALNT0084189". The record is from RNAcentral. Lineage: Eukaryota; Metazoa; Chordata; Mammalia; Primates; Hominidae.
CUGGCUAUGAUUCAGCUCUCUAUAAAAGGACACAGAAAGUAGAAGGUUGGCUGGCCACAACUCAUGAAUUUAUCCAAAACUGGAGAUGACAGAAUGUGAAUGGAGGUGAGAGGAGGGUGAAUAAAUUAUUAUCCUUUAACCUCAAUCUCAGUAUCAGGUAAAGUACCAUAUUAAUUUAAUUUCCUGUUUCUUAUUAUUUUAAUGUGGCAAUAAGUUAUUUUGAUUGUUGGUUAAUGAAAGCAAACAAAUUUUGAAAGUUUGCAUUUUGUUUCCUACAUAAAGAAGCAACUCAAAGACUCAGUCAAAACUAUUAUAUUUGUUAUCUUCUACAGCCAUUUAUACUCUAACAAAAAUUUAAGAUAAUGUAUAAGAAAUUAAUUUUUAAUUUUAUAAAAAUACCUCAAUGAUCCCCUGAUAAGCUUUCCUGAAAUGUCUAUGUUCAUGUAAAAUAUGCUUAAGGAUGAACUGCAAUGAAUUAUUUUAGUUAUCUUCUACAGUAAUUGUAGCUACAAUUUAUAUGCACAUUUCAAACUUUCACUUAUUUACAAAAAUUUUUCUGUAUUUCUAAAUCUGAGACUAUUACAAGUGAGCUAGUUUAAUUCAAUAUAAUGUACACUAUUUCCCUUCACUGAAAAUAUGAUUCUAUACCUGGAAAACCCUAAAGACUCUGCCAAAAGGCUCCUCCUGGAACUGGUAAACAACUUCAGUAAAGUUUCAGAAUAUAAAAUCGGUGUACAAAAAUCAGUAGCAUUUCUAUACACCAAUAAUAUUCAAGUUGAGAGCCAAAACAAGAACAUAAUCCCAUUUACAACAGCCACAAAGAAAAUAAAAUACCUAGGACUAUAGCUAACCAAGGAGGUGAAAGAUCUCUACAAGGAGAACUACAAACCACUGCUCAAAGAAAUCAGAGAUGACACAAAUGGAAAAACAUUGAUACUCAUGAAUAGGAAGAACAAUAUUGUUAAAAUGGCCAUACUGCCCAAAGCAAUCUACAGAUUCAACACUAUUCCUACCAAACCACCACCAUCAUUUUUUACAGAUUUAGAUAAAAAAAAUUAUAAAAUUCAUAUGGAACUGAAAAAGAGCCUGAACAGAGAAAGCAAUUGAAAGCAUCAAUAACAAAGCUGGAGGCCUCAUGUUACUUUACUUCAAACUAUAAGUAACCAAAACAGUAUGAUACUGGUACAAAAAUAAACACAUAGACCAAUGGAACAGGAUAGAAAACCCAGAAAUGAGCCAUCUGAUCUUUGACAAAGUUGACAGAAAUAAGCAAUGAAGAAAGGGCUCCCUAUUCAAUGAAUGGUGCUAGGAUAACUCCCUAGCCAUAUGCAAGAGCAUGAAACCGACUGACUGUUAUAUCUUGACCCAUGCAUUUCCUUACAUCACUUUGCAAAAUGUGAGUACCAUGAGGAGAGGUAUCUUUGCUGUUUUUUUCUACAGGAUACUGGCUUGUCCUAGGUUCCUAGAAGAGUGCUUGGAACAUGCUUGGGCCUCAAUAGCCAUUUGUUGAAUGAAUGAGUGACAGUAUGGGAGAAGCAUCUAGGCUGUAUGGCAUCUGUGCACUUGCUUCCUUCUCUCCAUUUCCCAUCCUGAAUCCUAGCCACAAUCCUUACAAUUUUAAAUUGACUUCUCUCACCUUUGCACAACACAGCAAACUAAUAUCAAGCUCUUGUUUUCAUUUAUAAUGACAUAUCACUUAGAAUCCCCCAAAGAGAAAGAUUAUUCCCCAAAUCAAAAUUUCAUUCUUUUCAUCAGUGAACCUACAAAAUAAUU